Molecule: ribosomal RNA, 1488 nt
Filed under: uncultured organism
Description: 16S ribosomal RNA
Rfam family: Bacterial small subunit ribosomal RNA
Source: RNAcentral
UGGCGGCGUGCCUAAUACAUGCAAGUCGAACGAGUUCUGAUUAUUGAAAGGUGCUUGCAUCUUGAUUUAAUUUUGAACGAGUGGCGGACGGGUGAGUAACACGUGGGUAACCUGCCCUUAAGUGGGGGAUAACAUUUGGAAACAGAUGCUAAUACCGCAUAAAUCCAAAAACCGCAUGGUUCUUGGCUGAAAGAUGGCGUAAGCUAUCGCUUUUGGAUGGACCCGCGGCGUAUUAGCUAGUUGGUGAGGUAACGGCUCACCAAGGCAAUGAUACGUAGCCGAACUGAGAGGUUGAUCGGCCACAUUGGGACUGAGACACGGCCCAAACUCCUACGGGAGGCAGCAGUAGGGAAUCUUCCACAAUGGACGCAAGUCUGAUGGAGCAACGCCGCGUGAGUGAAGAAGGCUUUCGGGUCGUAAAACUCUGUUGUUGGAGAAGAAUGGUCGGCAGAGUAACUGUUGUCGGCGUGACGGUAUCCAACCAGAAAGCCACGGCUAACUACGUGCCAGCAGCCGCGGUAAUACGUAGGUGGCAAGCGUUAUCCGGAUUUAUUGGGCGUAAAGCGAGCGCAGGCGGUUUUUUAAGUCUGAUGUGAAAGCCCUCGGCUUAACCGAGGAAGUGCAUCGGAAACUGGGAAACUUGAGUGCAGAAGAGGACAGUGGAACUCCAUGUGUAGCGGUGAAAUGCGUAGAUAUAUGGAAGAACACCAGUGGCGAAGGCGGCUGUCUGGUCUGUAACUGACGCUGAGGCUCGAAAGCAUGGGUAGCGAACAGGAUUAGAUACCCUGGUAGUCCAUGCCGUAAACGAUGAAUGCUAGGUGUUGGAGGGUUUCCGCCCUUCAGUGCCGCAGCUAACGCAUUAAGCAUUCCGCCUGGGGAGUACGACCGCAAGGUUGAAACUCAAAGGAAUUGACGGGGGCCCGCACAAGCGGUGGAGCAUGUGGUUUAAUUCGAAGCAACGCGAAGAACCUUACCAGGUCUUGACAUCUUUUGAUCACCUGAGAGAUCAGGUUUCCCCUUCGGGGGCAAAAUGACAGGUGGUGCAUGGUUGUCGUCAGCUCGUGUCGUGAGAUGUUGGGUUAAGUCCCGCAACGAGCGCAACCCUUAUGACUAGUUGCCAGCAUUUAGUUGGGCACUCUAGUAAGACUGCCGGUGACAAACCGGAGGAAGGUGGGGAUGACGUCAAAUCAUCAUGCCCCUUAUGACCUGGGCUACACACGUGCUACAAUGGAUGGUACAACGAGUUGCGAGACCGCGAGGUCAAGCUAAUCUCUUAAAGCCAUUCUCAGUUCGGACUGUAGGCUGCAACUCGCCUACACGAAGUCGGAAUCGCUAGUAAUCGCGGAUCAGCACGCCGCGGUGAAUACGUUCCCGGGCCUUGUACACACCGCCCGUCACACCAUGAGAGUUUGUAACACCCGAAGCCGGUGGCGUAACCCUUUUAGGGAGCGAGCCGUCUAAGGUGGGACAAAUGAUUAGGGUGAAGUC